AAGUCGUAACAAGGUCUCCGUUGGUGAACCAGCGGAGGGAUCAUUACCGAGUUUUCAACUCCCAAACCCCUGUGAACAUACCUACAACGUUGCUUCGGCGGGACCGCCCCGGCGCCCUCGGCGUCCCGGAACCAGGCGCCCGCCGGAGGACCCCAAACUCUUGUUUAAUUUAGUGGCAUAUUCUGAGUCUCACAAGAAAAUGAAUUAAAACUUUCAACAACGGAUCUCUUGGCUCUG
This 237-nucleotide unclassified non-coding RNA is filed under the name Tolypocladium sp. Its description in RNAcentral is "partial contains small subunit ribosomal RNA, internal transcribed spacer 1, and 5.8S ribosomal RNA". The stretch from base 1 to 46 matches the Rfam family "Eukaryotic small subunit ribosomal RNA", at positions 1786 to 1831 of the family's 1831-position model. Lineage: Eukaryota; Fungi; Ascomycota; Sordariomycetes; Hypocreales; Ophiocordycipitaceae. The record is from RNAcentral.